AUACAGAGGAUCCGAGCGUUAUCCGGAUUUAUUGGGUUUAAAGGGUGCGCAGGCGGCCAUUUAAGUCAGCGGUUAAAUCGUGGGGCUCAACCCCAUUCUGCCGUUGAUACUGGGUGGCUUGAUUGCGGUCGAGGUUGGCGGAAUUCGUUGUGUAGCGGUGAAAUGCAUAGAUCUGACGAAGAACACCGAUUGCGUAGGCAGCUGACCAGACCGCAAAUGACGCUCAUGCACGAAAGUGCGGGGAUCGAACAGGAUUAGAUACCCUGGUAGUCCGCACAGUAAACGAUGAAUACUUGUUUUCGGCGAUAUAAUGUCGGAGGCAAAGCGAAAGCGAUAAGUAUUCCACCUGGGGAGUACGCCGGCAACGGUGAAACUCAAAGGAAUUGGCGGGG
Molecule: ribosomal RNA, 392 nt
Filed under: uncultured bacterium
Lineage: Bacteria
Description: partial 16S ribosomal RNA
Rfam family: Bacterial small subunit ribosomal RNA
Source: RNAcentral